Molecule: ribosomal RNA, 1281 nt
Filed under: Xylaria sp. genotype 218
Lineage: Eukaryota; Fungi; Ascomycota; Sordariomycetes; Xylariales; Xylariaceae
Description: eukaryotic LSU rRNA
Rfam family: Eukaryotic large subunit ribosomal RNA (bases 696-1281)
Source: RNAcentral
AUAAAACUCCUAAACCCCUGUGAACUUACUGGUGUUUGGCUCGCCAGAUAUAGUCUGGUCCGUAAGCAAAUCGACUGCCUGCCUGUGUAACAGGCAGGUAAGCUUUUGUCGCGGGGUCCCGGAUCAACCCGGGCUAGAUAGCCACUUAACUAUAUACUUUUUAUAAAAUCUGUGAACUUACUAGGUUGGAUUCUUUCGCGGAUCGCCUACCCGUGACACCUGUCACAGGCAGGUAUGCUUCUGCCGCGGGUCCGUAAGUAAAUCAUCUGUUUCGCAAGGGACGGCGAUUUACCUGUGGAAGAGGUCCGCUAACUAUAUUCUUAGUAUAGUUUGUUCACUAGAUCAAACAUUCUGAAUAAAAACUUAAACUAGUUAAAACUUUCAACAACGGAUCUCUUGGUUCUGGCAUCGAUGAAGAACGCAGCGAAAUGCGAUAAGUAAUGUGAAUUGCAGAAUUCAGUGAAUCAUCGAAUCUUUGAACGCACAUUGCGCCCAUUAGUAUUCUAGUGGGCAUGCCUGUUCGAGCGUCAUUUCAACCCUUAAGCCCCUGUUGCUUAGCGUUGGGAGCCUACAGCCUGCUGUAGCUCCUUAAAGGUAGUGGCGGAGUCGGUUCACACUCUAGACGUAGUAAAAUCUUUAUCUCGCCUAUGGAUGAGCCGGCGCCUUGCCGUAAAACCCCUAAUCUUUCACAAGGUUGACCUCGGAUCAGGUAGGAAUACCCGCUGAACUUAAGCAUAUCAAUAAGCGGAGGAAAAGAAACCAACAGGGAUUGCCCUAGUAACGGCGAGUGAAGCGGCAACAGCUCAAAUUUGAAAUCUGGCCUUCGGGUCCGAGUUGUAAUUUGCAGAGGAUGCUUUGGGCGCGGUGCCUUCCGAGUUCCCUGGAACGGGACGCCUUAGAGGGUGAGAGCCCCGUACGGUUGGACACCAAGCCUCUGUAAAGCUCCUUCGACGAGUCGAGUAGUUUGGGAAUGCUGCUCUAAAUGGGAGGUAAAUUUCUUCUAAAGCUAAAUAUUGGCCAGAGACCGAUAGCGCACAAGUAGAGUGAUCGAAAGAUGAAAAGCACUUUGAAAAGAGGGUUAAAUAGCACGUGAAAUUGUUGAAAGGGAAGCGUUUGCGACCAGACCUUUUCCCAGCGGAUCAUCCGGUGUUCUCACCGGUGCACUUCGCUGGGUUGAGGCCAGCAUCGGUUUCCGCAGGGGGAUAAAAGCCUGGGGAACGUAGCUCCCUCGGGAGUGUUAUAGCCCCUCGCAUAAUACCCUUGCGGGGACCGAGGACCGCG